RNAcentral lists this ribosomal RNA (307 nucleotides) under uncultured Streptococcus sp. RNAcentral describes it as "bacterial SSU rRNA". It matches the Rfam family "Bacterial small subunit ribosomal RNA", at positions 1072 to 1382 of the family's 1533-position model. The record is from RNAcentral. Lineage: Bacteria; Bacillati; Bacillota; Bacilli; Lactobacillales; Streptococcaceae.
AUGUUGGUUAAGUCCCGCAACGAGCGCAACCCUAUUGUUAGUUGCCAUCAUUCAGUUGGGCACUCUAGCGAGACUGCCGGUAAUAAACCGGAGGAAGGUGGGGAUGACGUCAAAUCAUCAUGCCCCUUAUGACCUGGGCUACACUCGUGCUACAAUGGUUGGUACAACGAGUUGCGAGUCGGUGACGGCGAGCUAAUCUCUUAAAGCCAAUCUCAGUCCGGAUUGUAGGCUGCAACUCGCCUACAUGAAGUCGGAAUCGCUAGUAAUCGCGGAUCAGCACGCCGCGGUGAAUACGUUCCCGGGCCUU